Molecule: ribosomal RNA, 497 nt
Filed under: uncultured bacterium
Lineage: Bacteria
Description: partial 16S ribosomal RNA
Rfam family: Bacterial small subunit ribosomal RNA
Source: RNAcentral
GAUGAACGCUGGCGGCGUGCCUAAUACAUGCAAGUCGAGCGAACAGACGAGGAGCUUGCUCCUCUGACGUUAGCGGCGGACGGGUGAGUAACACGUGGAUAACCUACCUAUAAGACUGGGAUAACUUCGGGAAACCGGAGCUAAUACCGGAUAAUAUAUUGAACCGCAUGGUUCAAUAGUGAAAGACGGUUUUGCUGUCACUUAUAGAUUGAUCCGCGCCGCAUUAGCUAGUUGGUAAGGUAACGGCUUACCAAGGCAACGAUGCGUAGCCGACCUGAGAGGGUGAUCGGACACACUGGAACUGAGACACGGUCCAGACUCCUACGGGGGGCAGCAGUAGGGAAUCUUCCGCAAUGGGCGAAAGCUUGACGGAGCAACGCCGCGUGAGUGAUGAAGGUCUUCGGAUCGUAAAACUCUGUUAUUAGGGAAGAACAAAUGUGUAAGUAACUAUGCACGUCUUGACGGUACCUAAUCAGAAAGCCACGGCUAACUACGUG